Molecule: ribosomal RNA, 609 nt
Filed under: Triticum aestivum (bread wheat)
Lineage: Eukaryota; Viridiplantae; Streptophyta; Magnoliopsida; Poales; Poaceae
Description: partial small subunit ribosomal RNA
Source: RNAcentral
AUGUCGCCACAGCCAUCACCGUGUCCUCUCCAGUCUCCUCCAUCUCCAUCCGGAUAUCAAACGAAGAACUUUGAUGGUCUCAUGGAGGAUACUCUGAGAUCAUCAUGGGCAAUCAUGCAAUUGAAGAAGGAAAAGGAUAUCGUCACAUCUGAAACUGAUGAACAGGAUGGAGCUGGGAGGGAGGAGAAGCUGGAGCUGAGGCUACAUGGCUGCGACACUUGCUUACCACGGCCGACCGAUGUAGUAGAAAUUCGGCGGGUUAUCUUUGUAAAAGGCCAAUUGCCAUAUGACCUUGUUUGUAACGAGCUCUUAUGCUUGAUUCAUGUCAGGGGGUAUAUGCAUGUUAUUCUCAUGGUUUUGGUCAAUGGAAGUGAAGGCAUUAGCGCUGGAUCGAUCAGCUAUGUCCCAAGCUAUAAUCCGAGGGGCAUUACCGCUGAUAUGAAAAAGCUACUAAAUCGCGAGAAUGGCGUACGGAUGAAACCUUGGUACCAGGUGUGUAAGGCAAGUGCACCGGUGAGAGAUGAUGAGAACGAAACGCUCCAACUAAAGGAUCGUCUGGUUGCUCAUGAUCUCGACUUCUCCCGAGAAUAUGCGAGCUGCCUAGCUUAG